Molecule: ribosomal RNA, 767 nt
Filed under: uncultured Acaulospora
Lineage: Eukaryota; Fungi; Glomeromycota; Glomeromycetes; Diversisporales; Acaulosporaceae
Description: SSU rRNA
Rfam family: Eukaryotic small subunit ribosomal RNA
Source: RNAcentral
UACCAUGGUGGUAACGGGUAACGGGGUGUUAGGGCACGACACCGGAGAGGGAGCCUGAGAAACGGCUACCACAUCCAAGGAUGGCAGCAGGCGCGCAAAUUACCCAAUCCCGACACGGGGAGGUAGUGACAAUAAAUAACAAUACGGGGUUCUUUAGGAUCUCGUAAUUGGAAUGAGUACAAUUUAAAUCUCUUAACGAGGAACAAUUGGAGGGCAAGUCUGGUGCCAGCAGCCGCGGUAAUUCCAGCUCCAAUAGCGUAUAUUAAAGUUGUUGCAGUUAGAAAGCUCGUAGUUGAAUUUCGGGGUUCAUACGUUGGUCGGGCUUUUUGGUCUGUACUAGCGUAAUGGAUUCCUACCUUCUGAAUAACCGGCAUGUCAUUAAUUUGGUGCGCCGGGGAAGCAGGACUGUUACCUUGAAAAAAUUAGAGUGCUUAAAGCAGGCUAUCGCCUGAAUACAUUAGCAUGGAAUAAUGAAAUAGGACGGCAUGGUUCUAUUUUGUUGGUUUCUAGGAUCGCCGUAAUGAUUAAUAGGGAUAGUUGGGGGCAUUAGUAUUCAAUUGUCAGAGGUGAAAUUCUUGGAUUUAUUGAAGACUAACUACUGCGAAAGCAUUUGCCAAGGAUGUUUUCAUUAAUCAAGAACGAAAGUUAGGGGAUCGAAGACGAUCAGAUACCGUCGUAGUCUUAACCAUAAACUAUGCCGACUAGGGAUCGGAUGAUGUUAAUUUUUUAAUGACUCAUUCGGCGCCUUACGGGAAACCAAAGUGUUU